Molecule: long non-coding RNA, 440 nt
Organism: Megalobrama amblycephala (Wuchang bream)
Lineage: Eukaryota; Metazoa; Chordata; Actinopteri; Cypriniformes; Xenocyprididae
Exons: 3
Source: RefSeq, a predicted model, not a curated record
GACCAGGAAACAGUCAAAACCAAAACAGGAUACUGCGAGUCUUCCAGGAAAACAGUUAUCAUUUGGCUACAGAGGGGCAUGAAAGGUGACGUCCGACCUUCAACUCACAGCGAACGUAUUUUGGACCAAUCCCUGACCAGGAGAGAUAUGGCAGGUUCCUUGCCAGUAUGAUGAAAAGUCUCUGUUGUGGUGCCAUAUGAUAUGAGCUGUGACCACAAAUCAGAGUUGUGGAGUAUUGUAUUUCAUGAAGCACACCGGUCAUGUGAAACCUGUUUGGAUGUAUUAGCAGAUCUGAGAAAGAGAAAGCCAGAAAUAUUAACGUUAUUAAAUGAUCCAAAGGCUUCAUGACAGGACCUCACCUGUGCCAGAAAUAUGCAAAAUCCUCUAAAUUCUUCCAUUAUGUGAGAGAGGAAAAGUAAAACUUUCAAACCUGCAGAGAU